UAGGGAAUCUUCGGCAAUGGACGAAAGUCUGACCGAGCAACGCCGCGUGAGUGAAGAAGGUUUUCGGAUCGUAAAACUCUGUUGUUAGAGAAGAACAAGGACGUUAGUAACUGAACGUCCCCUGACGGUAUCUAACCAGAAAGCCACGGCUAACUACGUGCCAGCAGCCGCGGUAAUACGUAGGUGGCAAGCGUUGUCCGGAUUUAUUGGGCGUAAAGCGAGCGCAGGCGGUUUCUUAAGUCUGAUGUGAAAGCCCCCGGCUCAACCGGGGAGGGUGAUUGGAAACUGGGAGACUUGAGUGCAGAAGAGGAGAGUGGAAUUCCAUGUGUAGCGGUGAAAUGCGUAGAUAUAUGGAGGAACACCAGUGGCGAAGGCGGCUCUCUGGUCUGUAACUGACGCUGAGGCUCGAAAGCGUGGGGAGCAAACAGG
Molecule: ribosomal RNA, 429 nt
Filed under: Gemmatimonadota bacterium
Lineage: Bacteria; Pseudomonadati; Gemmatimonadota
Description: Gemmatimonadetes bacterium partial 16S ribosomal RNA
Rfam family: Bacterial small subunit ribosomal RNA
Source: RNAcentral